GUAUCCUACCCUAUUGAUAACAAUUGCAGGCUAGUACAAGAAAAAUACGUGUUUCAUCAUAAAUCCUACCAUACUAGUACUACUAUAUUUUUGAAAAGGCUAAGGACAUGUGGAUGUGUACAUCCUAAAGGUAUUAAAUCCUACCAUACUAGUACUACUAUAUUUUUGAAAAGGCUAAGGACAUGUGGAUGUACACCUCCUAAAGGUAUAUUUGUAUUGGUAGUAUAGGUUGGAACGGAAUUAAAUAGUUCAGUCAAAAUUUCAUAAGAUGGAUGUUAUCCUAUUUCAUUUAAUUCGACUUCAUUCCACCCUAUACCGCUGUACCACCAAUCCAACCAUGGACUUAGAAAAUAGUCAAUGUAAAUAAGAAUACAAGUCAGGACCCAUAUGUCCACUAAUAGAAUGCAAUACAACAUCGACAAGGUUUAAAAAUUUAAACAUCAAUCAAAACAUACCCUAAGAAAACAGCCAAGCAAUUUAAAUAAGAACCGAGGACCCACAAGUUACCCGAUAAGAAUGCAUAUCUAAGUUUCACACAUGAUGGGCCUGUUUGAAUUGGCUUAUUUAAGCUUAUCUACUUACAUAAGUUUAAUGAGAUUGUUUGAGAGGAUUUAUGAAAACAACUUAUGACAAUUUGCAUAACCUUUUUUCAAAUUAUUUUCAAUAUAGCUUAUAAAAUCAACUUAAUAACUUAAUCUUCUACUAUAAAAAUAGCUUAUGCAAGCUUAUACA
Molecule: long non-coding RNA, 732 nt
Filed under: Medicago truncatula (barrel medic)
Lineage: Eukaryota; Viridiplantae; Streptophyta; Magnoliopsida; Fabales; Fabaceae
Description: long non-coding RNA (MTRU_LNC001998)
Source: RNAcentral